Molecule: long non-coding RNA, 1849 nt
Organism: Vespa velutina
Lineage: Eukaryota; Metazoa; Arthropoda; Insecta; Hymenoptera; Vespidae
Exons: 3
Source: RefSeq, a predicted model, not a curated record
AUAAUAUCGAUGAACAACGAUUUAAAAUGACCUUUAAAUAAUGUUUAUUACAAGUUAUAACCAAAUUACAAACACAUAUAAAGUGAUAUUUAUAAUAUAAUCGUGUUGUUCCCUUGUCUCCUUGGGUAGGACAAUGUCGACCUAGAAAUUGAUUCGUAAAGCAGCAAAAAAAACUCGUUAUCUUUGAAAAGAGUAGGAGAGGUAAGAUGAACGAUGAGAGAAGAGGGGAGAGGUCGAGGUGAGAUGCGACGAGACGAUAACGCACGGUACCAGUCGUGUUCUUGGCGGCGCGGUAGGCAUAUCUAAGAGAAAAAAAAAAGAAAGAAGAAGAAUAAUAGAGAAAACGAGAACUCACCUUGCCGCCUUCUCCAUUCAGAUUUUGCUGAUGUUCGCAAAGGGCGCAAACCUCACCCAAUAGCUCGUGCGGUUUGAUGAAGAGCCUUGCACUUAGCAAAAAGGCAAAGAGCUGCACCGUCGCGAAUAUCCUGAUGAUCAGCGCCAGCACCAUUGACCAUGCCAGAACCAGGAACCCCACUACCUCCUCCACCUUUUCCACCGACACCACCGGCUGGAGUUUGCGGUGGACGACACAUUGAAGAUUUAUCGAGCAUGCUGGUCUCUUUCGAGUUUUACGAUAAAAUUUCAUGCACGAACUACGACCGAUAUGCUGAAGAAGAAGAGGAACGAGAUGAGGAGGUAAAACGGAGAAGGAGUGACAAAGAAGAGAGGAAAAAUUGGAUCAAACGGCCAGUUGAAGGGCUCACAGCCGAACGGAUAUGCGUCUUUCCGUUUGCCAAUCGUCCAUUCUUCCUUUCUCAAGAGAUACUCGUGAAGUUCCCAUUCGUCCCUUCUUCGAUAUUUCUCUUCUCUCUUAUUCAUCCUUUGUUACAUUGGAUUUUGGAUGAUUCAAGGGAAUAAAAAUGGUUUUGUCUAAGGGAUGAAAAACUGUUCGUUCAAUCGUUACUCUCCAGUAAUUAUGUUCGAAGCAGCAACAUAUAUCAAUUCCAUGGGAUUCGUUUUAUUUUUAUUUGUUUGUUUAUUUUCGCAGAAUAUGUAUAUUUCAUACGAAGUACGUACAUGUCUGUUUUAAAUAUAAUAUCUGAAAAUUCAAAUAUGUUUCCGUGGAUAACCAAUCGAAAUGAUCGAAUGUAUAAUAUCGAAUCGUGAUUAAAUUUUUCUGAACUCAGGUAAAAAUCUUUCAACUUAUUGUAAACUCUUGGAAUUAAAAAUGACGAUCUGACUGAUAAUAUAAAUUCAAACGAUAUUUCUCCUGUUCUCUUUCUUUUGAAUUUUAUCAUUCGUUCUUUUUUAGGUAUAUUUUUAUCAUUUAACGUUAAACGAUUCAAUAUAAAUUCAAGGAUAUUACUAACAUUAGUUAUUCUAAGUUCUUAUUUUUACGAGGAAUCUUUCAAAUUUUAUUUCUUACUAAGAAAUAUCUUUACUCCCAAACGUAUUCGAAUUAAAUUAUAUUUCAGAAUAGACUUCACUUAUAACUUAUAUUCGAAAAUAGUUAUACCAUAUUGCGUACUAUUUUUAUAAUUAAUUGAAUUAAUUUUUUUUAAUAAACAACUCUUUUAGAUUUUGUAGAAUUUUCGAGAAUAAUAAUAAAGUAAUAGAUAUAAAAUUUCUUUUAUAUCUUUACGUAUAAUAUUAUUAGAAAAAGAUGAUUUAUAUUUCUGAUAUUGUUUUAAGUAAUUUGAAUAAUACGAACAAAAUGUUUGGGCUCUUUUCGAAGGAUUCGCAAUAACUCUUGUGUAUUACAAAGUUUCGACCAGACUCGAUUCGUAAGCGAUGCACGAACGUAUGACGCGUCGACACAUUAAUCAUUGAUAACGCACGCGAUUGAGAA